ACUCAAAUGAAUAGACGGGGGCCAGCACAAGCGGUGGAACAUGUGGUUCAAUUCGAUGCUACGCGAAGAACCUUACCCAGGCUUGACAUGCAAGAAGUAGGAACCUGAAAGGGGGACGACUCGUAACCAGUCGAGAGCUUGCACAGGUGCUGCAUGGCUGUCGUCAGCUCGUGCCGUGAGGUGUUGGCUUAAGUGCCAAAACGAGCGCAACCAUCGCCCAUUGUUGCGACCGGGUUCGAAAGGAUGCCGAGCACUCUAUGGGGACUGCCAGCGACGAGCUGGAGGAAGGUGGUGAUGACGUCAAGUCCGUACGGCCUUUAUGUCUGGGGCGACACACGUGUUACAAUGGGGCUGACAACGCGCUGCAAGCUCGCGAGAGCAAGCUAAUCGCUAAAACGGUCCCUCAGUUCAGAUCGCAGGCUGCAACUCGCCUGCGUGAAGCUGGAAUCGCUAGUAACGGCGGAUCAGCUACGCCGCCGUGAAUACGUUCCCUGGCCUUGUACACACCGCCCGU
Molecule: ribosomal RNA, 514 nt
Filed under: uncultured bacterium
Lineage: Bacteria
Description: partial 16S ribosomal RNA
Rfam family: Bacterial small subunit ribosomal RNA
Source: RNAcentral